Molecule: long non-coding RNA, 795 nt
Organism: Gordionus sp. m RMFG-2023
Lineage: Eukaryota; Metazoa; Nematomorpha; Gordioida; Chordodea; Parachordodidae
Exons: 3
Source: RefSeq, a predicted model, not a curated record
AUUUUAAUUUUACAUUUUGUACUUUUACUUGCCUUCCGUUGUUCUAAAAUGGUGGCAGCGAAGUCUAGCGUGAUUUUAGAUACUGGAACAGGGUGAAACUAGACGAAAGAGGAUUUUGGAAAAUGAUGUUAAUAUAAUUCUAAAAACACGAUGAUGAAAUACGAUGAGCACGAUAAAGGGAUGAAGUCUCGUACACGGAUAUCAGUGGAAACCGAGAUAAGAUUCGAGACAUACAAAUAAUUAAGAACAAGAUAUCGAAACAAUUAUAAUCCUAGAGUUUAUGAUAAUAGGGGGUAUAAUGGGCCAGGACCGUAUAAUAAAUAUUAUAGACAUCAGAAAGAAUCGAGAUACAUACCUAGAUACAAUAACAGAACAAUAAUCAGUCAUACAACAAUAGAUUUGACGUAAAUAAAAUGGAUGGACAAGGCAAAUGAUGAUUACAAAUUACGAUAUACCUUAAUGAUUUACCAAUAGUCAUGCAGAUCAACACUGGGUCGCGUUAUUCAAUAUUACCGAUUAAUAUUGCUAGAAAGAUAGGAGUUAAUGUCUUGAAUAAAUCGGAUACGAAACUGACUGGUUAUGAUGAAAAAAAUAGAGGUGUUAGGAAUCGUUAAAAUAAAAACGAGAUAUGAAGACAAAACUCAAAACUUAGAUACUUUUAUAGUCCAAAAUGACAAGAUUGCAAUUCUGGGAAGGACGUGGAUAAAUGUUUUUGGAAACAUACCUAAUAAAUUUGUAAAUAUAAUCGAGGAAAAUAAGUUGAUAGUAAAAAUUAUUAAGGUACAUAUUACAAUA